GCCAGGUGUGGAGGCACAUACCUGUAGUCCCAACCAAUGGGAGGCUGAGGCAGGAAGAUCACUUGAGCCCAGGAGAUCUGGGCUGCAGUGAGCUGUGAUGGCAACAUUGUACUCCAGCCUGGGAGAUAGAGUGAGACCCUGUCUCAA
RNAcentral lists this non-coding RNA (147 nucleotides) under Nomascus leucogenys (northern white-cheeked gibbon). Lineage: Eukaryota; Metazoa; Chordata; Mammalia; Primates; Hylobatidae. The record is from Rfam by way of RNAcentral.